This 76-nucleotide transfer RNA is filed under the name Candidatus Peregrinibacteria bacterium CG_4_9_14_0_2_um_filter_53_11. RNAcentral describes it as "tRNA-Lys". It matches the Rfam family "tRNA". Rfam says of the family: Transfer RNA (tRNA) molecules are approximately 80 nucleotides in length. Their secondary structure includes four short double-helical elements and three loops (D, anti-codon, and T loops). Further hydrogen bonds mediate the characteristic L-shaped molecular structure. tRNAs have two regions of fundamental functional importance: the anti-codon, which is responsible for specific mRNA codon recognition, and the 3' end, to which the tRNAs corresponding amino acid is attached (by aminoacyl-tRNA synthetases). tRNAs cope with the degeneracy of the genetic code in two manners: having more than one tRNA (with a specific anti-codon) for a particular amino acid; and 'wobble' base-pairing, i.e. permitting non-standard base-pairing at the 3rd anti-codon position. Lineage: Bacteria; Candidatus Peregrinibacteriota. The record is from RNAcentral.
GGGCGAGUAGCUCAGCUGGUAGAGCAACUCCCUCUUAAGGAGAUGGUCCCGGGUUCGAGCCCCGGCUCGCCCACCA